AGGUAAUUCAAAUGUUGUGUUUGAAUUACCUCCCUUACACUGCUUUAAAUUAUGUUUUGUACUUAAGUUAUUGUCCAUUAACCAGGACACCCUAGUUUUCCCCCCUUUUUUGCCCCUAAUUCCGAAACGGUUUGAGCCAUAACCCCUCAAAACCAAUUCUUACCAUCCCUUUGUGGUAUGGAAACUUGUGGUAUAAUUUCAGAGAGAUCCAUACACCAUUCCACAAGUUAUUGUCUGGAAACUAGAAAAAUGCUUAUUUGGGCCCCUUUUUGGCCCCUUAUUCCUAAACUGUUGGGACCAUUACCCCAAAAUCAAUCCCAACCUUCCUUUUAUGGUCAUAAACCUUGUGUUUAAAUUUCAUAGAUUUCUAUUUACUUAUACUAAAGUUAUUGUAUGAAAACCAAAUGUCUUCAGACGACGCGGACAAUGACGACGUGAUACCAAUAUACGACCGCAAUUUUUUUUGCGGUCGUAUAAAAAUUAUCAGCCAAACAAGACCUACAAUUAAGUCAAAUGUCAGAAAUUGUCAGACGACUCCUUAUUAGAGUUAUUGCCCUUAAAUGACAAAUUUUCUUAGGUUAUCAUUUUUUUUUCAUUUUUGCCUUUUAUCUUGAAAACUAUAAUGAAUAAAUAGAAACUGUAAACCGCAAUAAUGAUCAGGAAGACAAGAUCUAAUAAUAAUAUAGCAUGGCAUAAAUCAUUUGUUGACUCCUUUUAUCAGUUAUUGCCCCUAAAUGACUACAAUUACCAUGUUGUGCGUAUUUGCCUAUUACCUUGAAAGUCAUAUAGGAAUCAGGGCCCAAGUUUAUUUAGUUAUCAGUUGAUUCCUUAUAGGAGUAAUUGAAAAGAAGCUUUGGUAAUAAUUCAAUAUAUGACAGAAGUUGUCCAGCAACUCACAAGAUUAUUUGCCAAUAAAUGCAUAGUUGCCAACUGACAUGAUAUUCGCGUGUAAUACACGCUUUUUCAACGGUUUACACGCAAGGAUUUUAUCACAUGGCGUGUACACGCUUUUCACCACUUUACACGCAAUUACACGCUUUUUCGUUGUUUUGAUUUUUUUGUUGUUAGUGAUAUCGCGAUUCUCGGGUUUUUUCAUUAUAACACGAUAAAUACCGAAAUUUCGAAGUAAUUGUUAGGUGGCCAUAUUGUUUAUUUUUCUAUAUGGACGAACAGCAAAAGCUCUUAAGUUUCAAAUGUAGCCAACAGAUUUCCACAGGCCAUAGGGGAUGGAAAUAUCACGGAACUGUUGGAUCAGUUCUCAUAGUAUUAGCUGUCUUCUGAUGAACUACCCAGUUUUGACCAGGCAAUAGCAACAUAUAUUGUAUAGUUUGUUGGGAGCAAUGGUAGAGAUCAUAGAUGACAUUUUAGAUGGCAAAAAAACAUUAUGACACUCUUUCAAAGCUUCAUGAAGCAAUUUUAGUUCAGCCAAAUAUCAAUUCUGACUGUGAGAGAUCAUUUUUCAAUUAUAAAGAAAUUUACACUGAUUUCUGAUCAGAACUCGACAAUGAUAUAUUGUGUGCCUUGUUAUCAAGUAAAUGUAUCGAAACCAGCAGGUGUUUUGACUAUGUGCCUAGUGGUGUUGCUUUAAAAGCAGCAAAACAGACCACUGUUGAAAACAAUAAAAGUUUACAGUUGAA
Mytilus californianus (California mussel) is the source of this 1637-nucleotide long non-coding RNA. RefSeq lists it as uncharacterized. The transcript has 2 exons. Lineage: Eukaryota; Metazoa; Mollusca; Bivalvia; Mytilida; Mytilidae. The record is from RefSeq and is a predicted model, not a curated record.